Oncorhynchus mykiss (rainbow trout) is the source of this 756-nucleotide non-coding RNA. Lineage: Eukaryota; Metazoa; Chordata; Actinopteri; Salmoniformes; Salmonidae. The record is from RefSeq and is a predicted model, not a curated record.
AAUGCAACAAAAUAGGAAAAACAUCAAGGGGGAUGAAUACUUUUGCAAGGCGCUGUAACCGCUGAUGAUAUAAAUGAAUGAGGAAACUAGUAGAAGAUAAGUAUUCAGCUCUCUCCCUCACACACACCAACAAGGCACUCUGACAACCCACGAGAUGGAGAAAUUCCUACUAGUACUUGAAGUGAUUACAACAUGCUGUGCUGUAACUCAAAGAUCAGGAUUCGUUCAGCGGGCGUUCCAACCAGCAUUAGUCAUGUGUUGGUCUGCUGACAAAUGUCCACAUUUGGGACUACGUGUUGUCUCCCUGUGAGAUCCAGAGGUGCAUCAACCAGAUGAACUUGACCACCGGCGACAUGCUCAACUGGAAGGCCUUGGACAACCAUUAUCACUCAAACAAAUAAUAAUCAAGUGUCUAUUAUGCUAUCUGGUAACUUUCCAUAAUUGUGUAAAUUGAAAAGGCCAUAUCACGAUAGUAUACCAUAAGAAACUGACAAUGUAACUAAACGGUGUCGGUUGCGUGAAUUAGCUGUCAGUGGUUCUAUCAUGCUAGGAUAAAUAUAACCUUGCUACGGCUGUAAGAGCUGCUCUAAGGCGUGAAAUUAAACAUUAGUGCAAAGGCAGGAUGUAAGCCAGUGUUUUUCACAAUGUUACUGAUGUUGUUACAACUUAAUACCGUCCUGAAGAUAUGCACUGAUAUCUAAUUUUGUAGAUCAGGAUUCAUUCAUGCACUAUACACACACACACACACACACACAC